RNAcentral lists this ribosomal RNA (493 nucleotides) under Veillonella parvula. Its description in RNAcentral is "bacterial SSU rRNA". It matches the Rfam family "Bacterial small subunit ribosomal RNA", at positions 28 to 492 of the family's 1533-position model. Lineage: Bacteria; Bacillati; Bacillota; Negativicutes; Veillonellales; Veillonellaceae. The record is from RNAcentral.
GACGAACGCUGGCGGCGUGCUUAACACAUGCAAGUCGAACGAAGAGCGACGGAAGCUUGCUUCUAUCAAUCUUAGUGGCGAACGGGUGAGUAACGCGUAAUCAACCUGCCCUUCAGAGGGGGACAACAGUUGGAAACGACUGCUAAUACCGCAUACGAUCUAAUCUCGGCAUCGAGGAUAGAUGAAAGGUAGCCUCUACAUGUAAGCUAUCACUGAAGGAGGGGAUUGCGUCUGAUUAGCUAGUUGGAGGGGUAACGGCCCACCAAGGCGAUGAUCAGUAGCCGGUCUGAGAGGAUGAACGGCCACAUUGGGACUGAGACACGGCCCAGACUCCUACGGGAGGCAGCAGUGGGGAAUCUUCCGCAACGGACGAAAGUCUGACGGAGCAACGCCGCGUGAGUGAUGACGGCCUUCGGGUUGUAAAGCUCUGUUAAUCGGGACGAAAGGCCUUCUUGCAAAUAGUGAGAAGGAUUGACGUACCGGAAUAGAAGCC